Engraulis encrasicolus (European anchovy) is the source of this 351-nucleotide long non-coding RNA. RefSeq lists it as uncharacterized. The transcript is spliced from 4 exons. The record is from RefSeq and is a predicted model, not a curated record. Lineage: Eukaryota; Metazoa; Chordata; Actinopteri; Clupeiformes; Engraulidae.
CACGUGACGUUGCUUGUGGUGACGUAGUUAAGCACGCGCGACUGUCACUGGCUCUGAUCUCUCUUCCUUUACUAAGGUGAAAAUGGCUCCUCCAGUCCAGGUAUCUGCACUGAUCAAGACCGCAAGAUGGUCUGCCUUGCUCGUUGGCAUGGUGUACGGCAAAACGCGAUAUGACUAUCUGAAGCCCAUUGCUGCAGAGGAGAGACGGGUGGAGGAAGCUGAGAAGAAGUACAGAGAGGAGCAGGAACGCAUCUACAAACAGCUCGCUGAAGCCAACUCGGACACCAUUCUGAAAUGAGUCACUGCACAGAUGUCUUUUGUUCUCGUCAAUAAAAACGCCAACAAACACCA